GAUAGUCAAGAACAUUUUGAAGACAUGAUGGAGUCUGUGAUAUUGUGAGUAUGUAGGUUUUCUGUAUCACUAUGUUUGCUUCAGUUUUUCCUCUUUUCUAAAGCUUGUUAAGUUUAAUUAUCUGGCAUAAUUAGAAGCAGAGAAAUAAAUACCAGAGAAAGGAUUCUUUCCAUGUCCCCAUAAAACAUAACCAGGGAAAAAUCACGGUGAUCACUUUAAGGAAGAUUUGCAUGCUGGGAAGACUGUUAGUGAACUCUUGUCCACUCUCUUGAACUCACUGCCUUGAGAGGUGGUUGGUGACUUUUCUCUGGAUAUUAUCAAUCUGUUUUGAGAGAUGAAGUUAAAGAAAAGGAAAACAUUCAAAUUCAUCUUAACUGCCUAAAGGAAAGGUAAUAGUCAUGCCAUUGUAAAGAGUUAAAAAAAAAUAAAGAUUUUUGUCCACUGCUCCCCCUAUCACCAAGACUGAAAAGAAAAUCGAUAACAGCUGUGAUAAAAGCUAAUUAUACUCUCUUCCAUUUUUGAAGAUUUCUUCAAUUGUGUGAAAAGCAGAAAGUCUCUCUAGGAGAGUGGAGCAGUCUAAAGAAAGUAUCAGAUCUCUGUCUAAAGGAAAUGGAGACUCUUGAGGCAAAUCAAGAAGACUUGAAGUUAUUGCAGGUAUUAUGAAAAUGAAGAAACUGAAAAAGCAGUGAAGGCAACAGAAUUAAUAAAAGAGAAUAUUCAGAAACUUCAGGACAAAAUUGGAUUCUUGAGAAUGAGUUGGAGGAAGAAGAGGAAAAGGCCAAGCUGGUACUGAAAAUAAAAUGUAUUGUGCUUCAUAUAGAUGAUACCAAGGAGGAAAUUUUGAAAAGAAUCCCAAAUCAGAAAGGUAUUCUAAAGGAUCUACAUGUCAUGAAUAAUUCAGCAGAAAUGAAGAACAUGUUAACUUUCAUAAAAGAAGCCUAUAAGAAGCUGGAUACCUCCUAAGUCCUUGUACUAUAUGUUUGUGGACAAUUUAACAUUUAUAAAUCAAU
This 1010-nucleotide long non-coding RNA is filed under the name Monodelphis domestica (gray short-tailed opossum). RNAcentral describes it as "lncRNA (ENSMODG00000050903.1)". Lineage: Eukaryota; Metazoa; Chordata; Mammalia; Didelphimorphia; Didelphidae. The record is from RNAcentral.